RNA transcript from Argiope bruennichi, 568 nucleotides. RefSeq lists it as uncharacterized. The record is from RefSeq and is a predicted model, not a curated record. Lineage: Eukaryota; Metazoa; Arthropoda; Arachnida; Araneae; Araneidae. The transcript is spliced from 2 exons.
CACCACUUCCAUUUUCGUUCAUCAGAUUUCUUUUUUCUGCACAUCCCAUCCUCCUGGCUAUCUUCUUUGAUGUGAACAUCGCUGAAGUGGCACGUCUUCGUUCCUUUCUCCAUGCCCAUGAGCUGGCACCAUCACGUGAAGGCUUUGCCGAUUUCCGGUGUGCAUCGCCCGAAGGUAUCGCCACAGGAGGGUAGGCGAAAGGGUGGUGAUAACGCUAGACAUCAACUGCAAGGGAGGGAGAGAGAGGUAAUUGGUGGGUUAGUGUCAUGGAUGUAAUUAGAAGCAGUUCUUACAGCAUCCGGACCCGCCACCACACACCAGAUGGAAGUCGGACGUUGAUGAAUCGAAGGUUCGAUUGAACGAAUUCAUUGAAAGCACUUACACCGCAUUGAUGAAAUUAAGUAAUGCAUGUCAAGGAAAAGGUUUGUUACUUUCUCGAAUUCUAAGUAUACAAAGGCAAAGUAUUGCAACCAUCAAGAAAUUCGACUUCGAGAUACCGACGAAUUUCCAUAUUUCAGACAGCCCUAAAUCCAAAAUACACAGUUCUACAAUUAUGUCUGUCUGUCUA